RNAcentral lists this ribosomal RNA (119 nucleotides) under Pteropus vampyrus (large flying fox). Lineage: Eukaryota; Metazoa; Chordata; Mammalia; Chiroptera; Pteropodidae. The record is from RNAcentral.
AUGUAUGGCCACGCCACCCCGAAUGUGCCCGAUCCCGUCUGAUCUCGGAAGCUGAGCAGGGCCGGGCCUGGUUAGUACUUGGAUGGGAGACCACCUAGGAAGACCAGGUGCCGUAGGCA